AUCGUGGUGACAGUCCACAGACUAGAGUGGAUCUAUCUUUAGUGAAUAGGACCAAACGCAGCUGGGGGUGGUGACCUGUGACCUCAGUGUGAAGGGAACCUGUGCUGAAACUGGAGGCUCUGACUGAGAAGGAGGAGGAGGAGGAGAGCGUCACCCUGAGCUCCAGCAGCAGCGCCGGUUUCCAGUCACCCGGUGUCCGCCAUGACCUCAGUCUCGGCCCGCGGCUCUCUACCUGGCUCCCCGGACUCUCCCUCUAGUUUCCGGACAGGAAGGUCCCAAUGAGACACAAGACCUCUUCUUCCAGGAAGUCCUGGUCCAGAUCAACAGCAAAGACAGAGGACACAUGUUGGACCUUCUGUGCCAGUGAGACGUGAAGCUGAAGUGAGACAGACACUGCUGGACGCCUCCUUCACGCCCUGUCCCCUCCAGCAGAGGGCUUGUGAGCGGGGGAGCUUGUUGCAGAGAUGGAAC
Solea solea (common sole) is the source of this 471-nucleotide long non-coding RNA. RefSeq lists it as uncharacterized. The record is from RefSeq and is a predicted model, not a curated record. The transcript is spliced from 3 exons. Lineage: Eukaryota; Metazoa; Chordata; Actinopteri; Pleuronectiformes; Soleidae.